UACAUGUGGUGCAAGCGUUGUUCGGAAUUACUGGGCAUAAAGGGUGCGUAGGCGGUGUCGUCAGUCUGGGGUGAAAUCCUGCGGCCCGACCGUGGGACUGCCUCGGAUACUGCGAUGCUUGAGUGCGUGAGGGGUGAUCGGAACGCGUGGUGUAGCGGUGAAAUGCGUAGAUAUCAGGAGGAACACCGAUGGCGAAGGCAGGUCUCUGGGCAUUAACUGACGCUGAGGAGCGAAAGCAUGGGGAGCGAACAGG
This 253-nucleotide ribosomal RNA is filed under the name uncultured bacterium. Its description in RNAcentral is "partial 16S ribosomal RNA". It matches the Rfam family "Bacterial small subunit ribosomal RNA", at positions 524 to 776 of the family's 1533-position model. The record is from RNAcentral.